RNAcentral lists this ribosomal RNA (762 nucleotides) under Apterostigma manni fungal symbiont s91. RNAcentral describes it as "eukaryotic LSU rRNA". The stretch from base 318 to 471 matches the Rfam family "5.8S ribosomal RNA". Lineage: Eukaryota; Fungi; Basidiomycota; Agaricomycetes; Agaricales; Tricholomataceae. The record is from RNAcentral.
GUAGGUGAACCUGCGGAAGGAUCAUUAUUGAAGUCACUGAGAGGUUUUUUUGUUGCUGGCUCUCUGGAGCAUUGUGCACGGCCUCUCUCACACUUUAUUUAAAUCACUUGUGCACCUCUUGUAGUCUCUCCUCUUCAGAUAAAUAUUUUUUGUUUCUCCUCUACCAUGAGGGGGGUAGGGACUUGUGCUACGUUCUCUCGUGGCUUUUGGUCCAAUAUAUAUAUAUAUAUCUGAAGCAAAGGGGGACUAUCUUUUUACACAUAUACUCUGUUAUCAAUGUAUUAAGAAUGACCAUCUGGUAUACAAAAUAAAAAUACAACUUUCAACAACGGAUCUCUUGGCUCUCGCAUCGAUGAAGAACGCAGCGAAAUGCGAUAAGUAAUGUGAAUUGCAGAUUUCAGUGAAUCAUCGAAUCUUUGAACGCACCUUGCGCUCCUUGGUAUUCCGAGGAGCAUGCCUGUUUGAGUGUCAUUAAAUUUCUCAACUCUGAUAAUAGUUGUCAUAAAAUUAUUGUUUGAGCUUGGAGGGUGAGGGUUUUUGCUAAGCUAGAAAAAUAAAGUCUGCUUGGCUCCCUUGAAAUAUAUUAGCACGCAAAAGAGUCCCUUCUGCUUGGUCUUUUUCUCUGCUUCAGGUGUGAUAGUCUAUAUUUUACGCCUCUAGUUUUGACCAAGCAAAAAUAUGCUUUUUUGUGCUUCUAAAGAAACACUUUUUGUUGUUUUUGACUACUUGACCUCAAAUCAGGUAGGACUACCCGCUGAACUU